This is a long non-coding RNA of Xyrauchen texanus (razorback sucker), 1017 nucleotides long. RefSeq lists it as uncharacterized. The transcript has 3 exons. The record is from RefSeq and is a predicted model, not a curated record. NCBI's taxonomy places the organism in Eukaryota, Metazoa, Chordata, Actinopteri, Cypriniformes, Catostomidae.
AAUGAGAAUUGUUGCCAGUGAUUGGUGGAAUGAGCUUAUUUUGAGACAAAUAUGAAGUGUUUUGUUGGUCUGAGUGAGUUUUGGGGCAAGACUGAUCUUGGUAAUGCAGACUAUAUGAAGAGUUUUGAAAAUGUGGCUUCAGUACUGACCAAUGCUUGUUAGCAAUUGAAAAACUUACUGUAAUGGUUAAAACCGGGUCAAAGUAAAUUGCAGAUUGAUGGUAAUAAUAAUAUUUAAAAAUGUAUUCAGACCCUUUUACUAUUGAAAGAAUGGACAAAAGAAUACAUUGUGCUAACUUCAGUCCACUCAUCUUUUUCAGAUAAAAAUGUUUUGUCCUUUCUGUGGCAUUCAAUGGGCGACUUUGCCCAGAUUUUGUAGUUCCUGUGGGCGAGAUGUAAGCUUUGUAGAGAACGCCUCUAGAACUGCAGGUGAUGACCAUGUGUCACGUAUGACUGUGCCCAGAGCAGUGACUGAUGCAUGUGCCAUUCCAUCAAAGCCAACUGUUCUCCAGUUUAUGAAAUACAGAGAAGUAUAAAAACUGAAAGGAAGACAUAUUCUAAAAGUAAAAAGAAAUCAAAUAAAACAGUAUAGAUUUCUGUUGGGAUCAGGAGCAAGACCAGGAAUGGCUUUAAGCCCAUGAGAGGGAAAAACCUACCUCUACAUGUUGACCCCCAGUGGGCAUCUGAGCAACUCUUGGCAGCUGCAGUGAAAAAACAAAAAGAUUUCAAUCAAGACAUGGAAGAUGGAGAAUAUGUCUUGCUUUAUCCAGAUAGCUCUCAGAUAAAAAAUAUCUCUGGGACUGACACUCCUUUUACCAUUGGACAAUACAAAGAGGCCAUUGGAAAGGCGUUUCAAAGGAUCACAUUGUAGAUCUGUACCCUUGAGGAUUUGUUGUCAAAGAGUAAGUAUUGAAGUGGUAUGUUUUAUAUAUAUUUUAUGCACAUUUAAACUACAAACAAAAUACUUUAUGUGAUAAGUGCUUUAAAGGGAUAGUUCAGCCAAUUAAAAUUCUGUCAU